Molecule: ribosomal RNA, 253 nt
Filed under: uncultured bacterium
Lineage: Bacteria
Description: partial 16S ribosomal RNA
Rfam family: Bacterial small subunit ribosomal RNA
Source: RNAcentral
UACGGGGGGGGCAAGCGUUGUUCGGAAUUACUGGGCGUAAAGGGCUCGUAGGCGGCCAACUAAGUCGGAUGUGAAAUCCCCAGGCUUAACCUGGGAACUGCAUCCGAUACUGGAUGGCUUGAAUCCGGGAGAGGGAUGCGGAAUUCCAGGUGUAGCGGUGAAAUGCGUAGAUAUCUGGGGGAACACCGGUGGCGAAGGCGGCAUCCUGGACCGGCAUUGACGCUGAGGAGCGAAAGCGUGGGGAGCGAACAGG